ACUCCUGCGGGAGGCAGCAGUGGGGAAUUUUGGACAAUGGGCGAAAGCCUGAUCCAGCAAUGCCGCGUGAGUGAAGAAGGCCUUCGGGUUGUAAAGCUCUUUUGUCAGGGAAGAAACGGUGAGAGCUAAUAUCUUUUGCUAAUGACGGUACCUGAAGAAUAAGCACCGGCUAACUACGUACCAGCAGCCGCGGUAAUACGUAGGGUGCAAGCGUUAAUCGGAAUUACUGGGCGUAAAGCGUGCGCAGGCGGUUUUGUAAGUCUGAUGUGAAAUCCCCGGGCUCAACCUGGGAAUUGCAUUGGAGACUGCAAGGCUAGAAUCUGGCAGAGGGGGGUAGAAUUCCACGUGUAGCAGUGAAAUGCGUAGAUAUGUGGAGGAACACCGAUGGCGAAGGCAGCCCCCUGGGUCAAGAUUGACGCUCAUGCACGAAAGCGUGGGGAGCAAACAGGAUUAGAAACCCCAGUAGUCCCAUGAU
This 475-nucleotide ribosomal RNA is filed under the name uncultured organism. Its description in RNAcentral is "partial 16S ribosomal RNA". It matches the Rfam family "Bacterial small subunit ribosomal RNA", at positions 335 to 801 of the family's 1533-position model. The record is from RNAcentral.